Molecule: unclassified non-coding RNA, 3992 nt
Filed under: Hevea brasiliensis (rubber tree)
Lineage: Eukaryota; Viridiplantae; Streptophyta; Magnoliopsida; Malpighiales; Euphorbiaceae
Source: RNAcentral
AAAAAAAAAAAAAAAACGUUUUUGCUGAUUGAUGCCAGCGAGACACUUUCAGAUUUUUCUUCUGUGCUUUAUUUUUUCACUUUUGAGGCCUCGUGAUGCCUCCUACACAACCUCUCCUCAUCUCUCUUUAUAUCUCGCUCUAUAAUUACGAGACUGAUACUGUUCUGUCCCUGCCUCCCCUCGCGGCCUUUUUUCUCAUGGAAUCUCACCGGAAAACCACUUUUGGUUUUGGGGAAUACCGGCAUCUGAAGCCACCCAUUAAGCCCAGCAUAUAAGAACAAAACAAUAUACUUGAAAACUUUCCAAUUUUUCGUCUUAUUCCAAAAGGAUAUUGUCCAAUGGCAGUGGUUUUUGACUCUGUUGCUGUUUCCUUUUCUUUGUUUCUGCUGCUGUUGAGUCAUGAACCAGUUCACUCCGAAACUGUACAAGAAAAGAAAGGCCUCCUUGCGUUUCUCUCUGGAGUUGCUCAUGCGAAUCGCCUACAAUGGAAUGCGUCCGACUCUGCCUGCAACUGGGUUGGCGUUAUCUGCGAUGGCAACCAAUCCUCUGUGUACGAACUUCGCCUUCCCGCCGUGGGCCUUUUGGGCCAGAUUGCACCCAACACCUUGGGCAACUUGACUCAGCUCCGAGUUUUGAGUCUCCGCUCGAACCGUCUCUCCGGUGAGAUCCCUUCCGAUUUCUCCAAUCUAACCUUGCUCCGCAGCCUCUAUCUCCAAAACAAUGAGUUUACAGGUGAUUUCCCACAGAGUCUGCCUCGGCUAACUCGGUUAGCCCGUCUCGAUCUCUCCUCAAACAACUUCACUGGUUCAAUCCCUUUUGAAGUGAACAGCUUGACUCAUUUAACACGUCUUUAUUUACAGAAGAACCAGUUCUCAGGCACUUUACCUAGUAUAAACCCUUCAAAUUUGACGGACUUCAAUGUGUCGAGCAACAAUCUCAAUGGUUCAAUCCCUUCGGUUUUAUCCAGAUUUCCUGCAUCAUCAUUCGCCGGAAAUUUAAAUCUCUGUGGUGACCCAUUGCCGCCGUGCAGCCCAUUUUUUCCUUCUCCAGUUCCAUCCCCAUCAGAAAUCCCACCUGAAGGCCCAGUUCACAAAAAGUCCAAGAAACUCUCCACCGCCGCCAUUGUUUUAAUAGCAGUCGGCUCCGCUUUAGUAGCUUUCUUCCUCUUGCUGUUUCUGCUGUUAUGUCUCCGGCGGAAACAGCGGAGACAGCCGUCUAAGGCACCAAAACCAACAGCGGCAGGGCGCGCGGUGCCAGUGGAGGUGGGAACGUCGUCGUCAAAGGAUGAUAUUACAGGUGGGUCAGCGGAAGCUGAGAGGAAUAAGCUGGUAUUUUUGGAGGGAGGCGUAUACAGCUUCGAUUUGGAGGAUUUAUUGAGGGCAUCUGCGGAGGUGCUGGGGAAAGGUAGCGUGGGAACUUCUUACAAAGCGGUGCUGGAAGAAGGCACGAUGGUGGUUGUGAAGAGGCUGAAGGAUGUUGUAGUAAGUAGAAGAGAGUUCGAGAUGCAAAUGGAGAUUCUGGGAAAGAUCAAGCACGACAAUGUGGUGCCAUUGAGGGCAUUUUACUAUUCCAAGGAUGAGAAAUUGCUAGUUUACGAUUACAUGCCCGCUGGUAGCUUAUCGGCUCUGCUCCAUGGUACAAUCUUAGAAACCUCUCUCUCUCUCUCUUUAAUAAUAUUAAAAUUUCCAUUCUUAAAUCAAAAUUCUAUUGAGAACCAGAGACAUGUCCAAACUCAAAAUUAGGUUUCUGCUUUUGAAUUGGUUACACUGACACUCUAAUGCUGCUGCUCCAGCUGUUACUGUCUAGGAAGCUACAUAAUAUAUUAUAAUUGAAUUUCUAUUGUCUUAUAAAUAAUUAAGACAAAAGGGUAAACAGCACCAGGCCAGAUUGGGCAGAUUCCAGAGUUUUUAUUGUUUAAUGAAUCCCUUGAUCACUUCCCUGAUUGUUUGCAAAACAUUCUUAUUAGUGUGGCAAAAAUACGCAACCUGCCAGCGCGUAUGGUGGUGUCUUUUUGUUUAUGCCACUAACAGCAUCAGCACAAGCUUCCUUCACCAUUAAUAAUGGCGCCAACGACAUUAUCAUUUUGCGCUUUUUCUUUUUGCCAUUUUUUUAAUUACGCAAACAUUCAUCAUUUUUGCUUUACUAUUACUUCUGGAAGAGAGUGCUGGAUUGGAUAAACUUGGGUUAUUUUACUUCCCUUUGCUAAUUUUUUUAUUUGUUAGAUAAGAAAUAGAAUUUCGCAUAACUGGAAUAAUGGCCCGUCGAUUCUACUGCAGGUAGCAGAGGGUCAGGCCGGACACCACUAGAUUGGGACAACCGGAUGAGAAUUGCUAUGAGCGCAGCGAGAGGCCUAGCUCAUCUCCAUGUGGUAGGAAAAGUGGUCCACGGCAACAUCAAAUCCUCCAAUAUUCUGCUACGACCCAAUCAGGACGCUUACGUCUCCGACUUCGGAAUCAACCCUCUCUUUGGCACAGCUACGCCACCCAGCCGUGUCGCUGGCUAUCGCGCCCCGGAAGUGGUUGAAACCCGUAAAGUGACCUUUAAAUCCGACGUGUAUAGUUUCGGGGUGUUACUGCUGGAACUUUUAACGGGGAAAGCACCCAAUCAAGCCUCCUUGGGCGAAGAAGGCAUUGACUUGCCCAGGUGGGUCCAGUCCGUAGUUCGAGAAGAAUGGACGGCUGAGGUUUUUGAUGUGGAGUUGAUGAGAUACCACAAUAUUGAGGAGGAAAUGGUGCAGCUCUUGCAAAUAGCAAUGGCGUGUGUUUCGACGGUGCCUGAUCAGAGACCGGCUAUGCAGGAAGUGCUCAGGAUGAUUGAGGAAAUUAAUAGGGUAGAGACCGAUGACGGAUUACGGCCGUCUUCUGAUGAUCCAUCUAAAGGAUCCGACGGACACACGCCACCUCCGGAAUCCAGGACCUCACCCAGAACUGUCACACCGUAGAAAUUCCCCUCCAGAAGAAAAAAAGGGGUAAAAGUAAAAUUAUAAAAAAAAUUAAAAAAAAGGAAGACAGGAUGGUGGGCCUGGUCUGAGGGUCUCGUUAAAAUGUGCACUCAAUGCGUAAUUAACAGUGAUAAAGGUGCGCAUUUGAUUGAGCCUUUGAGGGAAGUGGCUCAAAUAUGUGUUUUUUUCCUUAAUUUUCUUGGGUUUAUUUUAUUUUAUUUCAAUUUUAAUCUGCAAGAUUUUUACAGGUGGGAGAGGAUUCGAAUUGUUUUUAGAGGGGGGAGGGGAGGGGAGUUCCAUGAACUGAUUGGAAUUUCACCAAAUUGAUGGAUUUAGUUGGCUUGUAUCUAAUUCUUUAUUUUUCGUGUAUUUGUUAUAUGAUGAAACCAAUCUGUUGUCCUGACUCAACACAUUGGGUUUUGUUGUUUCAAUUUAAUGACCAGGACUGCAAUGCAAGUAGCUAACUAGAAUGGGAACUGAUGAAGAUUCCAGGGCUCGUUUUGUGGUAGAAAUAGAAUAAGGCCAAGCAGUUUGUUUGUCCUCUUGUUCUAAUUUCACUAUUGUUGACUUGUGCCUGUGAGGCCUGCCCGUGGCGGAGUGUUGAAGACUUGAACCUGCGCGUGCAUUGUUUUAUUCUACUGAGCCCACACGGUCACAAAAAGGAGGCCCUGCUUGGUCCGAAGACCGAUUUCUGGAGUGUUUUUAACUCACAGUCAGGUCCAUAAUAAUCCAUGGGUUUGGUCCCAUCAUGGAUAAUGAGGUGCCACUUGCAGGUUAGGGUUUUGGUGGGGCACGGAUUAUCGACAUGUGGAAGGAGGCAAGGAAGAAUGGUGGUGGGGAACAGGCUGGCCGACGUUCGGCUUUUAAGUCUUUCUUUGCCUUCCCUAGGUCCUUUUCGUCUUUUUAGAUUUUUUUUCAUUUGUUCACCAAUCAUUUGCCCCAGCGUCUAAGCAACGAGAUACCCUAUCCAUCCAAAAAAAAAAAAGGGUGUACAAGGAAAAUAGUAAUUUUAUUACAUAAUAGAUUUAAUCACUUAAUUAAUUUGAACAAA